ACCCGCUGAACUUAAGCAUAUCAAUAAGCGGAGGAAAAGAAACCAACAGGGAUUGCUCUAGUAACGGCGAGUGAAGCAGCAAUAGCUCAAAUUUGAAAUCUGGCGUCUUCGACGUCCGAGUUGUAAUUUGUAGAGGAUGCUUCUGAGUGGCCACCGACCUAAGUUCCUUGGAACAGGACGUCAUAGAGGGUGAGAAUCCCGUAUGCGGUCGGAAAGGCGCUCUAUACGUAGCUCCUUCGACGAGUCGAGUUGUUUGGGAAUGCAGCUCUAAAUGGGAGGUAAAUUUCUUCUAAAGCUAAAUAUUGGCCAGAGACCGAUAGCGCACAAGUAGAGUGAUCGAAAGAUGAAAAGCACUUUGGAAAGAGAGUUAAAAAGCACGUGAAAUUGUUAAAAGGGAAGGGAUUGCAACCAGACUUGCUCGCGGUGUUCCGCCGGUCUUCUGACCGGUCUACUCGCCGCGUUGCAGGCCAGCAUCGUCUGGUGCCGCUGGAUAAGACUUGAGGAAUGUAGCUCCCUCGGGAGUGUUAUAGCCUCUUGUGAUGCAGCGAGCGCCGGGCGAGGUCCGCGCUUCGGCUAGGAUGCUGGCGUAAUGGUCGU
RNAcentral lists this ribosomal RNA (597 nucleotides) under uncultured fungus. RNAcentral's name for it is "eukaryotic LSU rRNA". It matches the Rfam family "Eukaryotic large subunit ribosomal RNA", at positions 23 to 641 of the family's 3401-position model. The record is from RNAcentral. Lineage: Eukaryota; Fungi.